GCACAGCGAAAGGUGCUUGCACCUUUCAAGUGAGUGGCGAACGGGUGAGUAACACGUGGACAACCUGCCUCAAGGCUGGGGAUAACAUUUGGAAACAGAUGCUAAUACCGAAUAAAACUCAGUGUCGCAUGACACAAAGUUAAAAGGCGCUUUGGCGUCACCUAGAGAUGGAUCCGCGGUGCAUUAGUUAGUUGGUGGGGUAAAGGCCUACCAAGACAAUGAUGCAUAGCCGAGUUGAGAGACUGAUCGGCCACAUUGGGACUGAGACACGGCCCAAACUCCUACGGGAGGCUGCAGUAGGGAAUCUUCCACAAUGGGCGAAAGCCUGAUGGAGCAACGCCGCGUGUGUGAUGAAGGCUUUCGGGUCGUAAAGCACUGUUGUAUGGGAAGAACAGCUAGAAUAGGGAAUGAUUUUAGUUUGACGGUACCAUACCAGAAAGGGACGGCUAAAUACGUGCCAGCAGCCGCGGUAAUACGUAUGUCCCGAGCGUUAUCCGGAUUUAUUGGGCGUAAAGCGAGCGCAGACGGUUGAUUAAGUCUGAUGUGAAAGCCCGGAGCUCAACUCCGGAAUGGCAUUGGAAACUGGUUAACUUGAGUGCAGUAGAGGUAAGUGGAACUCCAUGUGUAGCGGUGGAAUGCGUAGAUAUAUGGAAGAACACCAGUGGCGAAGGCGGCUUACUGGACUGUAACUGACGUUGAGGCUCGAAAGUGUGGGUAGCAAACAGGAUUAGAUACCCUGGUAGUCCACACCGUAAACGAUGAACACUAGGUGUUAGGAGGUUUCCGCCUCUUAGUGCCGAAGCUAACGCAUUAAGUGUUCCGCCUGGGGAGUACGACCGCAAGGUUGAAACUCAAAGGAAUUGACGGGGACCCGCACAAGCGGUGGAGCAUGUGGUUUAAUUCGAAGCAACGCGAAGAACCUUACCAGGUCUUGACAUCCUUUGAAGCUUUUAGAGAUAGAAGUGUUCUCUUCGGAGACAAGUGACAGUGUGCAUGGUCGUCGUCAGCUCGUGUCGUGAGAUGUGGGGUAGUCCCGCACGAGCGCACCCUUAUUGUAGUGCAGCAUCAGAUGGGCACUCUAGCGAGACUGCCGGUGACAAACCGAGAGCG
This 1110-nucleotide ribosomal RNA is filed under the name Leuconostoc pseudomesenteroides. Its description in RNAcentral is "bacterial SSU rRNA". It matches the Rfam family "Bacterial small subunit ribosomal RNA", at positions 64 to 1171 of the family's 1533-position model. Lineage: Bacteria; Bacillati; Bacillota; Bacilli; Lactobacillales; Lactobacillaceae. The record is from RNAcentral.